RNAcentral lists this ribosomal RNA (70 nucleotides) under Acinetobacter baumannii. RNAcentral describes it as "partial 16S ribosomal RNA". It matches the Rfam family "Bacterial small subunit ribosomal RNA", at positions 1464 to 1533 of the family's 1533-position model. The record is from RNAcentral. Lineage: Bacteria; Pseudomonadati; Pseudomonadota; Gammaproteobacteria; Moraxellales; Moraxellaceae. RNAcentral also lists the same sequence under 1 other name.
GUGGCCGAUGACUGGGGUGAAGUCGUAACAAGGUAGCCGUAGGGGAACCUGCGGCUGGAUCACCUCCUUA